This 2323-nucleotide long non-coding RNA is filed under the name Homo sapiens (human). RNAcentral's name for it is "non-protein coding LINC00927:59". Lineage: Eukaryota; Metazoa; Chordata; Mammalia; Primates; Hominidae. The record is from RNAcentral.
GAACUACAAAGUUUGGUGUGUCCACUAGUGUGGUUUCAUACCCCCUAGGUCUUGCUGUUGAGGACUGGUUCUGCCAGGCAUGAUCAAUGACCACCCACAAUGUCCUGUGGCCCAGCCUGUGGAGAGGUGCCCAAACAGAGUUAUCUGGGUCCACAUCCAUGUGCCCAGCUAUUCUGUCCAAUCAUAGCACAAAGACAGGUUGCCUGUGUCCAGAGGGACACACAGCCUCAGGCACACCAGCCCUUACUUAUGAGCUUGAUGGUCAUCAGCAAAGACUCUCUCCCUUUAGGAGGGUUCUCCUUGGGACUUUUCAGUGUCUUGGCAGGAAAGAGAUGGCACACACGAAGCACUGAUUGAAGACAGUUUAAUGAAAGAAUAUUUACAGAGGUUGGGCAAGGGUAUGGAAAACAACAGGGAACAGUAAAACACCCAGGGAUGACAAGGCAAGGUAGCUCAUGUCUGUAAUCUCAGCACUUUGGGAGGCCAACACAGGCAGAUUGCUUGAGCCCAGGAGUUUGAAACCAGCCUGGCAACAUAAGCAAGAAUCUGUUUAUCUACAAAAAAUAAAAUAAUUAAAAAAAAAUUACCUGGCUGUGGUGUUGCACACCUAUAGUCCCAGCUACUCAGGAGUCUGAGGUGGGAGGAUCACUUGAGUCCAGGAGUUUGAGGUUACAAUGAGCUAGGAUCACACUACUGCACUCCAGCCUAGGCGACAAAGAGAGAUGCUGUCUCUAAAAAUAAAAAACAAAAACAAACUACCCAGGAACAGGCAGGCCACCAACUGUUACCAUCUCUUGCCUAGAGAGACAAGGAGAAGGAUCUAGAACCCAGGGAGAGCUAUAGCCAUGGAGAAGGAGUCACCCAAUGGAAGCCCUGGCCACAGCUAGAGGAUCAAAACUCCUGCACCCACUGCAGCUCAGUAGGAAGAGAGCUGGGGGAAUAAAUACCUUGACCUCUUGCCUCCUGCCCUCCAAUCUCCUGUCUGGGUCUUCCAUUGGCCAAAAACAACAGAAGCUAAAGGUCAGGGGACCCUGGGUGAUACGGUCCACAUAGGCAGCACACUGGAGCAAAAGAAGAAAAACCAGCACAAUUCAUCUUAUUACCACUUAGCAGCCAUUCACAAACUUUGCUUAGAUGGGAGAAAAAUAUUUUGUCCCCGGCACAGGGGAAACAUAAAAUCUCACCAGCAGCCAUAUUGUCUGGGGGUGAUAGCAAUUUAGUCCCACUCCCUCCUGCAACUUAAAUCAUAAUGUAGCCAGUCCCGGGUAAGUGGAACACUUCCUGUAAAGCACAACUGCUAGUGCCCCCUUCUGUGGCUGGUCAUGAGGCCCAGAGUGGUAACUGCAGUCUUGUUCUCCCACCACCCAUUCCAUAGCCCCUCUACUUUCUGGCAGUCCCUUAGCUGUUGGAGAAUUUUAUCUGGUGGAAUGACCCAAAUCUUCAUCCACAGAGGAUUCAAAUUCUUAGUGCCGUGUCUUCAAUGAGUUGCCACAGUAUCCACAGAUUCCUAAAGAACAUGAAGAGGCCUUGAAGAUCUCACCUGGAAGCUCUGUAAAAUUAUCAGAAAGAAUAGCAGGUGCUCUAGGGCAACACUACUCAAACUAUGGUCCACGGAUGGACAGCAUUGGCAUCUCUGGGGAGCUUGUUAGAAAUCUAAUUUCAUGCCCCCACCUCAGGCUUACAGAAUGAGGACAAGGGAUACAGGGAGUACCAAGUGCCCUAGCGAAUCCCAGGGUUCCAAAGCUAGUACUCCUUGCCCCUAUUGUGUAGCAGAAACCCCACUUUCCCUUGGAUAUUGGGGUUAACCAUCCUGACAGUGCAGUGAUCUCUUUCUCUGCCAAUAUUUCAACAUAAGGAGCCCCAGAUGGCACAAGAUCAUCUUCCAAUUUAACAGACCCAUAACUAUAUUCCCUGGUGGAAGCAGUUCCUCUUGGUCACUAGAGAUUUCCAAACCCACAAAACCUAAGGUUUCUUGGUUAAAGGCCAUGUUUGUGGGAUAUGCUGAGAUGAAUAUGCUGUGGUUUGAAUGUGUCCCCCAAAGUUCAUAUGUUGGAAACUUGAUUCCCAUUGCAACAGUGUUGAGAUCUGGGGCCCAAUGAGAGGUGAUUAGGCCAUGAGGGCGGAGUGAAUGGAUUAAUGCAGUUAUCUCAAGAGUGGGUUUGUUAUGAAGGGGGUGUUUGGUCCUCUUUUCUCUCUUGCCCAUGUGAUUCCUUCCACCAUGUUUAUGAUGCAACAAGAAGGUCCUCACCAGAUGCUGGUUCCUUGAUCUUGUAUUUUGCAGCCUCCAAAAUCGUGAGCCAAAUAAAUUUCUAUUCAUUAUAAA